This 486-nucleotide ribosomal RNA is filed under the name uncultured bacterium. RNAcentral describes it as "bacterial SSU rRNA". It matches the Rfam family "Bacterial small subunit ribosomal RNA", at positions 28 to 507 of the family's 1533-position model. The record is from RNAcentral.
GAUGAACGCUGGCGGCGUGCAUAACACAUUCAAGGUCGAACGGGAAUCGUUUUUGUUGGAGACUUCGGGUCAAAGACAAGAGAGGAUAGUGGCGGACGGGUGAGUAACGCGUGAGCAACCUGCCUGCAAGUGGGGAAUAACAGUGGGAAACGACUGCUAAUACCGCAUAACGUGCGUUUUUCGCAUGAAGAACGUACCAAAGAUUUAUCGCUUGUAGGGUGAGCUCGCGUCCGAUUAGAUAGUUGGUGAGGUAACGGCCCACCAAGUCUGCGAUCGGUAGCCGACCUGAGAGGGUGAUCGGCCACAUUGGGACUGAGACACGGCCCAGACUCCUACGGGAGGCAGCAGUGGGGAAUAUUGGGCAAUGGGGGAAACCCUGACCCAGCAACGCCGCGUGAGGGAAGAAGGUUUUCGGAUUGUAAACCUCUGUCCUUGGUGACGAAGGAAGUGACGGUAGCCAAGGAGGAAGCCCCGGCUAACUACGUG